Molecule: small nuclear RNA, 160 nt
Organism: Artibeus jamaicensis (Jamaican fruit-eating bat)
Lineage: Eukaryota; Metazoa; Chordata; Mammalia; Chiroptera; Phyllostomidae
Product: U1 spliceosomal RNA
Exons: 1
Source: RefSeq, a predicted model, not a curated record
AAACAAGAGUUGGUGAUGUACCAUGGUUGGGAAGAUGGUUUUCCCAGGGUGAGGUUCACCCAUUGCACUUCACCUGUGCUGACCCCUGUGAUUUCCCCAAAUGUGGGAAACUCAACUGCAUAGUCUGUGGUAGUGGGGUCUGCGUUUGCGCUCUCCCCUG